RNAcentral lists this long non-coding RNA (181 nucleotides) under Danio rerio (zebrafish). RNAcentral describes it as "si:ch73-234b20.4 (si:ch73-234b20.4)". The record is from RNAcentral. Lineage: Eukaryota; Metazoa; Chordata; Actinopteri; Cypriniformes; Danionidae.
GACUGAAGAAAACACAGAGGAAACAAAAGCAGAAGAAACACUCCCUCCAUGUGGACGUGGUCUGUUUCUGGAGAAGCUUGAGCUGGCAGUCGCGAGAGUAAGACAAAGGAUCGAGUGUCCGGGCGAGAAACACGUGCGCCAGAUUCAGCUCAUCUCUUAAUAAACGUUUUAUAAAAUAUAA